Molecule: unclassified non-coding RNA, 204 nt
Filed under: soil metagenome
Description: partial contains 5.8S ribosomal RNA, internal transcribed spacer 2, and large subunit ribosomal RNA
Source: RNAcentral
AACCUUAUGGACCUGCGGGCGUAUACCUGCGGAGGGAUCAUUACCUAGAGUUGUAGGCUUUGCCUGCUAUCUCUUACCCAUGUCUUUUGAGUACCUUACGUUUCCUCGGUGGGUUCGCCCGCCGGUUGGACAAAACUUAAACCCUUUGUAGUUGCAAUCAGCGUCUGAAAAAACUUAAUAGUUACAACUUUUAACAACGGAUCU